Molecule: ribosomal RNA, 259 nt
Filed under: uncultured bacterium
Lineage: Bacteria
Description: partial 16S ribosomal RNA
Rfam family: Bacterial small subunit ribosomal RNA
Source: RNAcentral
UGGCGGACGGGUGAGUAACACGUGAGCAACCUGCCUUCGAGAGGGGAAUAACGGCUGGAAACGGUCGCUAAUACCGCAUAACAUACCGGGAGGACAUCCUGCUGGUAUCAAAGAUUUUAUCGCUCGAAGAUGGGCUCGCGUCCGAUUAGGUAGUUGGUGAGGUAACGGCUCACCAAGCCGACGAUCGGUAGCCGGACUGAGAGGUUGAACGGCCACAUUGGGACUGAGACACGGCCCAGACUCCUACGGAAGGCAGCAG